UACGUAGGGGGCACGCGUUGUCCGGAUUCACUGGGUGUAAAGGGCGCGCAGGCGGGUUAGCAAGUCAGAGGUGAAAUCCUACAGCUUAACUGUAGAACUGCCUUUGAAACUGUUAAUCUUGAGUGCGGAAGAGAGAGACGGAAUUCCAGGUGUAGCGGUGAAAUGCGUAGAUAUCUGGAAGAACACCAGUUGCGAAGGCGGUCUCUUGGUCCGUUACUGACGCUCAGGCGCGAAAGAGUGGGGAGCAAACAGG
Molecule: ribosomal RNA, 253 nt
Filed under: uncultured bacterium
Lineage: Bacteria
Description: partial 16S ribosomal RNA
Rfam family: Bacterial small subunit ribosomal RNA
Source: RNAcentral